UGGAGAGUUUGAUCCUGGCUCAGAUUGAACGCUGGCGGCAUGCCUAACACAUGCAAGUCGAACGGCAGCACGGGUGCUUGCACCUGGUGGCGAGUGGCGGACGGGUGAGUAAUGCGUAGGAAUCUGCCCAAUAGUKKGGGACAACCCAGGGAAACUUGSGCUAAUACCGGAUACGUCCUGAGGGAGAAAGCGGGGGAUCUUCGGACCUCGUGCUAUUGGAGGGGCCUACGUUCGAUUAGCUAGUUGGCRGGGUAAGGGCCUACCAAGGCGACGAUCGAUAGCUGGUCUGAGAGGACGAUCAGCCACACUGGGACUGAGACACGGCCCAGACUCCUACGGGAGGCAGCAGUGGGGAAUUUUUCRCAAUGGGGGCAACCCUGACGAAGCAAUGCCGCGUGARUGAAGAAGGCCUUCGGGUUGUAAAGYUCUUUCGUGGGAGACGAAAAGGUAAUCGCUAAUAUCGGUUACUGUUGACGUGAACCCAAGAAGAAGCACCGGCUAACUCCGUGCCAGCAGCCGCGGUA
Molecule: ribosomal RNA, 524 nt
Filed under: Acidithiobacillus thiooxidans
Lineage: Bacteria; Pseudomonadati; Pseudomonadota; Acidithiobacillia; Acidithiobacillales; Acidithiobacillaceae
Description: bacterial SSU rRNA
Rfam family: Bacterial small subunit ribosomal RNA
Source: RNAcentral